Long non-coding RNA from Xenopus laevis (African clawed frog), 898 nucleotides. RefSeq lists it as uncharacterized. The transcript is spliced from 3 exons. NCBI's taxonomy places the organism in Eukaryota, Metazoa, Chordata, Amphibia, Anura, Pipidae. The record is from RefSeq and is a predicted model, not a curated record.
CGCAGAGCUCGUGGUGCUGGCGGAGGAGAUUUAAGCCCUGCAGGAGUUGUUCUGAAUGAAGAUGGGUCAGAUUGGCAAGCAUGUAGGAUUGAGAUGACUGGUCCAUCUGUGGCAACAAAAGAGGGAGGAAGCACCCAGGCACAGAAUCGUAAACACAUGUGGGAAAAGUGGGAGUCUUUUUCCUUACACCUCAUGUUAUGGUGAAUGAUCUUACACGUGGUGCUUGCCCUGCUUCUGAAAUCAAAUGUCUAGUUAUGGACGAAGCACAUAAAGCUCUUGGUAACCAUGCCUAUUUUCAAGUUGUAAGAGAAUUGACCAACUACACAAACCAGUUUCAUAUUCUUGCUCUGAGUGCCACACUAGAGGAUGGAACUUGGCUGACAAGGAGACAAUACAAAAUAGAAUAGCCCAAAUUAUCAACAGAGAAGUUGGUAAAGAUGUGCAUUUUCCUCUUUAGCUCACCCACACAUAUCACAUGCAAACUACACACACAUCCAUAUAUAAACCCCUAAUGUACAAACUGUUGCUGUUGAACUUGAUUCAAUAAAAUGAAAGUCACUCAGAUGCACAGUUUUACUGCAGUUGAGGCUUGGUGCAUCAGUCCCCAAAAGGUGGAGCCAUUCACCCACAGUGUAUUCUUUGCAAUAACGAGGAGAGCACCACAAGGCAGAAUUCCUGCCAAGUCAGUGAAUUUAUUAAAGAUUUGUACAGGAUGACAUGUUUGGGGGCACAUAGGGGCCCAAAACAUUUUGUGCUAUAAGAGUCUUCAAUAAAUUCACUGACUGAGCAGUAAUUCUACCUUCUCGAUUGCAAAGAUAUCAUGACUAAGGGGCACAUUUACUAAGCUCGAGUGAAGGAUUAGAAUAAAAAGUACUUCGAAUUUUGAAGUUUUCUUUGG